This 493-nucleotide ribosomal RNA is filed under the name uncultured bacterium. RNAcentral's name for it is "partial 16S ribosomal RNA". It matches the Rfam family "Bacterial small subunit ribosomal RNA", at positions 29 to 508 of the family's 1533-position model. The record is from RNAcentral.
AGUGAACGCUGGCGGUAGGCCUAACACAUGCAAGUCGAACGGCAGCACAGUAAGUGCUUGCUCUUACGGGUGGCGAGUGGCGGACGGGUGAGGAAUACAUCCGAAUCUACUUUUUCGUGGGGGAUAACGUAGGGAAACUUACGCUAAUACCGCAUACGACCUACGGGUGAAAGCAGGGGAUCUUCGGACCUUGCGCGAUUGUAUGAGCCGAUGUCUGAUUAGAUAGUUGGGGGGGUAAAGGCCCACCAAGGCGGCGAUCCGGAGCUGGUAUGAGAGGAUGAACAGGCAAACUGGAACGGGGACAAGGGCCAGACCCCUAAGGGAGGGAGCAGUGGGGAAUAUUGGACAAUGGGGGCAAGCCUGAUCCAGCCAGACCGCGUGGGGGAAGAAGGGCUCCGGGUUGUAAAGGCAUUUUGUUGGGAAAGAAAAGCAGCAGGUUAAUACCCCGCUGUUCUGACGGUAACCAAAGAAUAAGCACCGGCUAAAUUCGUGC